Long non-coding RNA from Equus asinus (donkey), 1772 nucleotides. The record is from Ensembl. Lineage: Eukaryota; Metazoa; Chordata; Mammalia; Perissodactyla; Equidae.
CCCCUUGGUGAUGUAUGACUCUGCUCAGCUGAGGGGAGCAGGGGGCGGGGCCUGUCCCGCCCCUCUGAGGGGAGAGCAGACACCAAACCUUCUCUCCAUGGGGGAGAACAUCUGCCUUGGACUCCAAAAAUAGGCUUCUCAGAAUCCCGUCAAGGCUGAAAGAGAUGCCCUGCCAAUCCAACCUCCAACAACCUCCCUUUAGUCCAUGCUGAGCUCAGCUGCAACUUCACAUCCCAGCUCCAACCCAGCCUCAGCCCCGUGCCCCAGGCCAGCCUCAGCCCCAGCCUCCUCCCAGGCUCUGCCCCUCCACCCCAUGCCUGCCAGCCUCUGUCCUCUCUGCCUCAGUGCUAAGGACCAUUCCCACACUUUAUCCCCCAGCAUACUAUGGGAUUAAUAGGACUAAAUUGGGGGGGGAGAGGGGACACACAAAGAAGGGAAUGGAGGGAGGGAGGGAGGAGCGUCCAGAAACACUCCUUGGCCAAACCGUUCAAAGCUGUGUAUUUGAGAGAGGCCCGGAGAAUAAGUGAGGGGCAUGCUGUCCCUUUCACACCCACAGCCCUCCCUAUGCCAGCAUCUGAGACCCCACUCCCAUCUAAUGCCAGGUCUGGGAAUUUAACUUCCCUCCACAUACGCCCAGGGCCACCAAGGGGGUGGUGGGGUGGACUAGCCCUAGAGAAAAAAAUUGGAUGGGCCUCCCAACGAAGGAGGACCCAUUAAAAAAUCUUCCCGUAAUAUUUGCAAUGUUUUGUGACAGAGUCAGGCCACAGGUUCCCUUUUAAACAGCUGUGUCAAGUCAUUUGUACUGGCAUGCCCCAUCUCAGAGGCCCUGGCCCACAACCCCCUUUGGGAACCUUUAGGGAAAGAUUCUCUUGAGAUAAGCCCCUUUGCUCCAUCCACCGUAGCAUCUUGGUGAGGAAGAGGAGGCAGGCCAGAUAACCACCUUCAAGAACCACAGGUGUGCCCAAGAGUGUACCCCAUCUCUCUGUAUCUUGGCUUGCCCUCUGUGUACCCUUGUCUGUGUGUACCUUUCAUUGCGUGUGUGUGUGUGUGCACGUACAUGCCUUGCCUCUUCACUGAAUGGUAGGUUUUAGUUAAUUCAAUUGAUUACAAUAAUUAACACAACCCUCAAAAAAGUCCUUUUUCCCUUUGAAAGUGACACUUUGGCCCUGUACCAGAGAGGGGCGGGGUGGCUCCAGUCUGAGCUGGAAGAAGCUGACAUAGAAGUCACCCCUCGCACGAGAGGAGGGCAUAGGUCAUAGGACAAGGCAGAGUAGGAGGCAUUGACCUCUACAAGCACACACGUGUCCACCCGUGCCCGUGAAACACACACAUGUAGACAUGCAUGCAUGUACAUUUUGGCCUUAGCCUGGUGUUGUCCCCACAAUGGAAGAAACUGGCUUCAUCCUUGAUUGGAAAGAACCCAUAAAGGGGGCUUCUUCUCUCACUGUCCCUCCUCUGAGAGCCUCCUUGCUCACACUCACACAGACAUACACUCUCACACACAAUAUACACACACUCACACAUGGUGGAGCGAAGAGAAAGGGAAGAGAAAGGCUAAAAGAAGCCAGCAACCAAAGGUCAGCCCAGGCGGCUCAGCCACGUGCAGUCCAUCCACCCCCAUCAGGUCAUGUGAGACCAAGACCAAAGCUUCAUCAACACGCCAUUGUCCUACAGAACGCAGCCUUGGGUUGAAUGGGACAAGCCCCCUCCAGCCCAAGACUAGUCAGUGCCCACCCAGAACCUGUGGUCCCCUCCUGAGAGGACCCUCUGAG